Molecule: long non-coding RNA, 647 nt
Filed under: Medicago truncatula (barrel medic)
Lineage: Eukaryota; Viridiplantae; Streptophyta; Magnoliopsida; Fabales; Fabaceae
Description: long non-coding RNA (MTRU_LNC006373)
Source: RNAcentral
AUCAACUUCAGUAACCACAGGUUUGACUUUUACUGAUUCUGUCAGAUCAACUUCAGUAACCAGGGGUUCUUUUACUGUUUUUGUAAUUUCAACUUCUGUAGCCACAGCUUCUUCUUUUACUGUCUCUGUAGGAUCAACUUCAGUAACUAUAGGUUCGUCUUUUACCGUUUCUGUUGCCUCGAAUUCAGUAGCUGCAGGUUCAUCUUUUACCAUUUCUGUAGGCUCAACUACAGUUGUCACAGGUUCUUCUUUUACGGUUUCUGUAGCUUCAACUUCAGUAGCCACAGAUUCUUCUUUUACUGUUUCUGUAGCUUCAACUUCAGUAGCCACUGGUUCUUCUUUUACUGUUUCUGUAGCUUCAACUUCAGUAGCCACUGGUUCUUCUUUUACUGUUUCUGUAGCUUCAACUUCAGUAGCUGCAGGUUCGUCUUUUACCGUUUCUGUAGCCUCAACUUCAGUUGCCACAGGUUCUUCUUUUACCGUUUCUGUAGGCUCAACUUCAGUAGCCACGGGUUCUUCUUUUACUGUUUCUGUAGCUUCAGCUUCAGUAGCUAGAGGUUCUUCUUUUACCGUUUCUGUAGGAUCAACUUCAGUAACCACAGGUUCGUCUUUUACGGUUUCUGUAACCUUAACUUCAGUAGCUGCAG